AGCGAACGCUGGCGGUAGGCCUAACGCAUGCAAGUCGAACGGCAGCACAGUAAGAGCUUGCUCUUACGGGUGGCGAGUGGCGGACGGGUGAGGAAUACAUCGGAAUCUACUUUUUCGUGGGGGAUAACGUAGGGAAACUUACGCUAAUACCGCAUACGACCUACGGGUGAAAGCAGGGGAUCUUCGGACCUUGCGCGAUUGAAUGAGCCGAUGUCGGAUUAGCUAGUUGGCGGGGUAAAGGCCCACCAAGGCGACGAUCCGUAGCUGGUCUGAGAGGAUGAUCAGCCACACUGGAACUGAGACACGGUCCAGACUCCUACGGGAGGCAGCAGUGGGGAAUAUUGGACAAUGGGCGCAAGCCUGAUCCAGCCAUACCGCGUGGGUGAAGAAGGCCUUCGGGUUGUAAAGCCCUUUUGUUGGGAAAGAAAAGCAGCAGGUUAAUACCCCGCUGUUCUGACGGUACCCAAAGAAUAAGCACCGGCUAACUUCGU
Molecule: ribosomal RNA, 491 nt
Filed under: uncultured bacterium
Lineage: Bacteria
Description: partial 16S ribosomal RNA
Rfam family: Bacterial small subunit ribosomal RNA
Source: RNAcentral